CUUUGGUGUAGGAAAGAGGGAAACCAGAAUGACGGCUGAUAGUUACAGAGCCUCUGAUUACAAAUAAAAACAAGUGAACCUGCCAUGAUGGAGAAACCAGGACGCAAUCCACUCUCCAAAUAGAAGUGUUUACAGCAUGUGAACGUGAGAUCAAGGAAGCUGGGCAAUGUGAACUGCCUGAACCCCACAGGUCACUGAACUGAAACAGGAAAUCAGAAGAAAGGCAAGGGAGAAAAAACAUUCUUGGGAGGGGGAAAAGACAGCAUAAACAAGAACAGGAAGGGGAAUGCAGGUAUGUGCUGGCCCCUCCCAACAGCCUGUAUGGCUGCUGUCUGCUGGCAACUUCUACCCUCAAUAAGGAAGAGAACAGGCCCAAGCAAAGGGCAGAGAAUGGUUUCAAGAUGCUUUCCUGCUUUUGGGAGACCACCAUCCCAAACUCUGGGACAUUUUGUGUUUCAGAGGAUCUAUCAAGGGGCAGAGCACUGUGGAUUUUGCUAUAAUAUUAAGGACAAGCCAGUCAGUAGUUAGACAGUGAAUGCACCUAAUAAUUCGGUACUGCGGGGACGAAAUACUCAAAGCUCUUCUUUCCUUUGGAGUAAAGAAAACCCCUGUGGCAGCUCUCCCAUAAGAGGCUCUCAAGAUGGGUUUUCUUCGUACAAAAAUAAGAAACAAAGGUUCCAGAUGGAGAGGCUCACAUUGUCGGCAGAUUUAGAAAAACUCCCCUGGAAUCUGUAUGGGUGAUGCAGUUUGGUGCAGACUGACAAAUGUCGGCACAAACCAUCAUCAGAAGGGUGCAAUUGGAGGAAUGAGCAGGAAUUCUCAGGGGCUUGAUUCAGAUCAAGUGUCACACAUAGCACAGACAGAGAAGUACCUGGGAUUGAACUGAGGACCUUGUGCUUGCCAAGCAGUCUGGGACAUACGACUGAAGGAAGAAGACAAACUAAACGCAGGCAACAGAUGUGUGAUAAAAGAGGAACAGAGAGAAGAGCAAACAGAAGUGAGGAAGAGUCGUGGAAUACAUUUCUAAAAUUAGGUCCAAACUCAAUUCUGUAAUAGGAGGCUUCUUGACAAAACAGCUUGCUGAUCGUGUUAGAAAAUCUGGAGGAACACACACAUUUCCGUUUCCAUUUAUCCACUAAAUGCUGCUUUGCCGGAUUUUAGAAUGUCAGAAUGCUAACUGGGCAAUUUAAACUUUGGGGAUCUUAUUUUGUAUUUGUUUGAGGGAAAAAACAUCUCUAAGGUGCGGUUUUUCUUAGAAUAAGGUUUUCAUCCUGACCAUUCUCCUUCUACCUGCACAACUGCCAAGAUUAAUUUACAGAAAAUGGAAGCAGGACAUGCUAUGCCUGUGCAUGAACCUGGAGUGUGGAGAGAAGAGGAGGCUAUCACCCUGGAGAG
This 1395-nucleotide long non-coding RNA is filed under the name Heterocephalus glaber (naked mole-rat). RNAcentral describes it as "lncRNA (ENSHGLG00000050040.1)". Lineage: Eukaryota; Metazoa; Chordata; Mammalia; Rodentia; Bathyergidae. The record is from RNAcentral.